This is a long non-coding RNA of Betta splendens (Siamese fighting fish), 1556 nucleotides long. RefSeq lists it as uncharacterized. The record is from RefSeq and is a predicted model, not a curated record. NCBI's taxonomy places the organism in Eukaryota, Metazoa, Chordata, Actinopteri, Anabantiformes, Osphronemidae. The transcript is spliced from 3 exons.
UGACUCCCACCUCACCGGUUCGCUCACCUCCGCCCUCCCCAUCAGCCCCCAAGGUACGUUGUUGUGUGUGUGUGUGUGUGUGUGUGUGUGUGUGUUUUUAUGAUGUCAGCUCAGGCUUCUGUGGGAAUGACCUCUGCUGUUCCUAUUACAAUGCAGUCAACAGCUAAAUCGCCAUCAUUCUCAGUGGAUAAACACGCCCGUCCUGGACCAGACAAGAGUUCUGACCCACGACCCAGGGCCAAGUCCUCCAGACAUGUCACUGUGAGGUGUUACUACAUACAUAAACCUUUACCUACUUCUGGGCUGUGUGAGCCCGCCAUAACCUGAAAUACCUGCCCUUUGCACUCUUUGCCUUCCUCUGCCUCUCUUUGUGCUCCAACAAUAACCCGGAUGAGUUACAGCGAGAGCGACAGGUGAACAAAGUGCAGGAAGAAAUCGGUGCCAAAGUCCGGAGGCCUGAACCUCUCACUGCGCCGCAGCUACACAUUAACACGCUCGGCACACGGGCCGAGCGCUGCCAGCGUUUUACAGCACCUCCAAACACACCCUGCGGAUUUGGGCGCCGCUCUGUCAACAGCGCCGUCGCCAGACAUCACCUGGACCCUCCAGCCAAUCGAAGAGAGGCACCGAGGCCGCGCACGAGCCCCCGAGUCUAUGGACGGGCAGGAAACCGGGCGCUGAGCAGGCGGAGGGAUGCUGGUGCUGCACCACUGCUGUGGAGCCGCCUGGAUGAACAGCACGUGUGACACCACGCUGACCUACCUGAUGGUGAGCGUGACCUCUGACCUGGUGGAUAAACUCCAAGAAGCCAACGCUGGCUGAAUCCGCAAACGCGUCAGCUAGGCUGCAGCCGGACGUCCUCUCAGGAGCGCGGAUCUCACACUGUCCGGCUCAUCCGGAGCGGCGGGACGGACUGUAUUUUAUUGUGAUCUGGGAAAAACCGAGGCGAGGAUGCUGGCAGCUGUGAUGUGUGUUGGGAGGAAUGCGGCAGUGUUAUCGCUCACUGAGUUAUGCAAGAACGAUUUGGUGGAAACCUUUGCCUGGUACAGCGUUAGGCCUCAGCCUCACACACACACACACACACACACACACACACACACACACACACACACACACACACACACACACACACACACACACACACACACACACACACACACACACACACACACACACACACACACAGAUCCUGGCCUCAGGACUUUCUAAUUACCCUCAGUGAAUGGGAGGCAGUCGGACACACACAGGGUUAUCACACACCCCAGCACCGCUCCUCAUAUUUCUUCCAAUUAUCCUAUUUUUAGCUUUCAUCUAGGUUCUUGUUUUGCCUUCAGAGGGCACGAGGUGCAUGGGAGGCUCGGUGGGCAGAAGACUCAUUUAGACGUCACGUUUUUAGCCGGUGCCAAAAUCUAGACUUUGCUUUAGAGUCUUUGCUUCUCUUGUGUGUGUCAGAAACCAGAGCUCAGCACGAAUCAUUCAUCAGCAAAACAUUAGAGUCUAAAGUGGAAAACUGUCAGACAUCUGGAAAGAAAGUACGAAAAUAAAAUAAAUUACAC